This 374-nucleotide ribosomal RNA is filed under the name uncultured organism. Its description in RNAcentral is "partial 16S ribosomal RNA". It matches the Rfam family "Bacterial small subunit ribosomal RNA", at positions 527 to 896 of the family's 1533-position model. The record is from RNAcentral.
GUAGGUGGCAAGCGUUGUCCGGAAUUAUUGGGCGUAAAGCGCGCGCAGGCGGUUCUUUAAGUCUGAUGUGAAAGCCCACGGCUCAACCGUGGAGGGUCAUUGGAAACUGGAGAACUUGAGUACAGAAGAGGAAGCGGAAUUCCACGUGUAGCGGUGAAAUGCGUAGAGAUGUGGAGGAACACCAGUGGCGAAGGCGGCUUUCUGGUCUGUAACUGACGCUGAGGCGCGAAAGCGUGGGGAGCAAACAGGGAUUAGAUACCCUGGUAGUCCACGCCGUAAACGAUGAGUGCUAAGUGUUAGGGGGGUUUCCGCCCCCGUUAGUGCUGCAGCUAACGCAUUAAGCACUCCGCCUGGGGAGUACGGCCGCAAGGCUG